Molecule: ribosomal RNA, 147 nt
Filed under: uncultured bacterium
Lineage: Bacteria
Description: partial 16S ribosomal RNA
Rfam family: Bacterial small subunit ribosomal RNA
Source: RNAcentral
GACGCAGCGCGCCGCGUGAAGGAGAAGGCCUUCGGGUUGUAAACCUCUUUCAGGAGGGACGAAGCCACUCGGGUUAAUAGCCCAGAGGGUGACGGGACCUCCAGAAGAAGCCCCGGGUAACUACGUGCCAGCAGCCGCGGGAAUUAA